Molecule: ribosomal RNA, 494 nt
Filed under: uncultured bacterium
Lineage: Bacteria
Description: partial 16S ribosomal RNA
Rfam family: Bacterial small subunit ribosomal RNA
Source: RNAcentral
GACGAACGCUGGCGGCGUGCUUAACACAUGCAAGUCGAACGGUGAAGCGCCUUCCUUUUUGGUGGGUGUGGAUGAGUGGCGAACGGGUGAGUAACACGUGAGUAACCUGCCCCCUUCUUCUGGAUAACCGCAUGAAAGUGUGGCUAAUACGGGAUAUUCUGGGUCUGUCGCAUGAUGGGUCUGGGAAAGAUAUUGUUUCGGUGGGGGAUGGGCUCGCGGCCUAUCAGCUUGUUGGUGGGGUGAUGGCCUACCAAGGCGGUGACGGGUAGCCGGCCUGAGAGGGUGGACGGUCACACUGGGACUGAGACACGGCCCAGACUCCUACGGGAGGCAGCAGUGGGGAAUAUUGCACAAUGGGCGCAAGCCUGAUGCAGCGACGCCGCGUGAGGGAUGGAGGCCUGCGGGUUGUGAACCUCUUUCGCCAGUGAAGCAGGCCUGCCCCGUUUGUGGGUGGGUUGACGGUAGCUGGAUAAGAAGCGCCGGCUAACUACGUG